Molecule: ribosomal RNA, 411 nt
Filed under: uncultured Gammaproteobacteria bacterium
Lineage: Bacteria; Pseudomonadati; Pseudomonadota; Gammaproteobacteria
Description: bacterial SSU rRNA
Rfam family: Bacterial small subunit ribosomal RNA
Source: RNAcentral
GAGUUUGAUCAUGGCUCAGAGUGAACGCUGGCGGCAGGCCUAACACAUGCAAGUCGAACGGCAGCACAGCAGUAGCAAUACUGUGGGUGGCGAGUGGCGGACGGGUGAGGAAUGCAUCGGAAUCUGCCUAUUUGUGGGGGAUAACGUAGGGAAACUUACGCUAAUACCGCAUACGUCCUACGGGAGAAAGUGGGGGACCUUCGGGCCUCACGCAGAUAGAUGAGCCGAUGCCGGAUUAGCUAGUUGGCGGGGUAAAGGCCCACCAAGGCGACGAUCCGUAGCUGGUCUGAGAGGAUGAUCAGCCACACUGGAACUGAGACGCGGUCCAGACUCCUACGGGAGGCAGCAGUGGGGAAUAUUGGACAAUGGGCGCAAGCCUGAUCCAGCCAUGCCGCGUGUGUGAAGAAGGCC